GAAAAAAAGACCGGGCGUGGUCACUCACGCCCGUAACCCAAGCACUUUCGAGGCCAAGGCGGAUGGAUCACCUGAGGUUGGGAGUUCAAGACCAGCCUGACCAACGUGGUGAAACCCUGUCUUCAAAAAAAUACAAAAAAUAAAAAUAAAUAAAAAGAUUUUACAUUUCUUUCCACAUGUUUAAAGAGCUGUUUGUAUUUUUAUUUUCUGGUGAACAGUGUGUCUGUGUCCUUUGUGACAUUUCUCUGUUGCUUUUUUCCGAUUGGUGUGAACAGACUCACUUCCUCAGCUCCUGCUAGGCAAUAUCAGCAUCUCAUACUCAUGUCUCUCAGUCUGACCAUCCAGGAACGCCUUGCUCCCUGUUGGGAAUCUGCAGCUCUGAUUUCCAAAAUCAAAAAUAAUUUCUGUGUUCCUCUUUCAGGAUGCCGAGGAAUGUGACAGGGCUGGGAGUGUGGCCACCUGCCAGGCCGUCAUGCGCGCCGUGAUUGGAAUUGGGAUUGAGGAGGAAGAUCGGAAGCACACCUGGAUGGAGGAUGCUGACAGUUGUAGUGGCCCACCAUGCCCAG
Long non-coding RNA from Sapajus apella (tufted capuchin), 566 nucleotides. RefSeq lists it as uncharacterized. NCBI's taxonomy places the organism in Eukaryota, Metazoa, Chordata, Mammalia, Primates, Cebidae. The transcript is spliced from 3 exons. The record is from RefSeq and is a predicted model, not a curated record.